GAACAGCAUCCUCCACCCCAGAUCUAACCCACUCUGAGGAUUGGUGAAUACAGAGCGUUUGCCCUUAAGUGGUGUUUCCUGAGCAACAGGGAGGCCCACCCUCCUCACACCCGCAGCCCUUUUGUAAGCCCAGCUUGGGCAUUGCUUAGAGGGUUUAUGGGUGACUCUGGCAUGCACGGUUUUACUUGUGCAACAGUGCAAGCACCAACAUGAGUGUGCGGUGGCACACUCCUCUUGUGAAAAGCCAAAAUUCUUCCUGUUGCUGGCCACUUCUUCCGGAGGCUGGGCCUCCCUCUCAUCUCUGUCUGUUGAUUAGAAGUGGCUGAUGGUGUCCAAUGAGAGCAGAGCAACCUUCCCAUGGAAGGGGCACCUUGCGGUGCUGGUGCGAAUCCCUCAUUUUCUAUGUUCUUCUCUCUAGUAGGUCUCAAGCAGAGACAGAUAUUUUUGUUUUAGAGAUUCCAAAGUCUAUAUUUUUAGUGUAAGAAACGCACCCUUCUCCACACUUCAUGACGUAAAUAGAACGGGGAAUAAAGUGUCCCGCUGUGAUUACCCCAUAGCAGUUUAUGUAUGGUAGAAACAAGGCCCCUUCUCCAGUGUGUCUGUGGCCCAGGGCAGGUAACUGUGACAGUGUAUGUCUGAGCCUCUGCCUGCCCUCACUGUGUGUGCUCAGCUCUUUGGGUGACAAAUAAAGCCCGUAUUAUAAA
This 704-nucleotide long non-coding RNA is filed under the name Rattus norvegicus (Norway rat). Its description in RNAcentral is "long non-coding RNA NONRATT026307". Lineage: Eukaryota; Metazoa; Chordata; Mammalia; Rodentia; Muridae. The record is from RNAcentral.